This 409-nucleotide ribosomal RNA is filed under the name uncultured bacterium. RNAcentral describes it as "bacterial SSU rRNA". It matches the Rfam family "Bacterial small subunit ribosomal RNA", at positions 29 to 482 of the family's 1533-position model. The record is from RNAcentral.
AACGAACGCUGGCGGCAUGCCUAACACAUGCAAGUCGAACGAGACCUUCGGGUCUAGUGGCGCACGGGUGCGUAACGCGUGGGAACCUGCCUUUAGGUUCGGAAUAACUCAGAGAAAUUUGAGCUAAUACCGGAUAAUGUCUUCGGACCAAAGAUUUAUCGCCUUUAGAUGGGCCCGCGUUGGAUUAGCUAGUUGGUGGGGUAAAGCCUACCAAGGCGACGAUCCAUAGCUGGUCUGAGAGGAUGAUCAGCCACACUGGGACUGAGACACGGCCCAGACUCCUACGGAGGCAGCAGUGGGGAAUAUUGGACAAUGGCGAAAGACCUGAUCCAGCAAUNCCGCGUGAGUGAUGAAGGCCUUAGGGUUGUAAAGCUCUUUUACCCGAGGAAUGUAUAAUGACAGUAUCGGA